AUUCACCCUUAAGGCUUUCUUAGGCUUACUCAGUCACCUUACGAUCACAUCCAGUCACCUGGAUCCGAGCGGCCCGGCCGCUCUUGUUUGACGCCUCCCUGUUGACUUCAGAGCCGCCUCACGGGCGGCUCUUUUUUU
RNAcentral lists this small RNA (138 nucleotides) under Hyphomicrobium sulfonivorans. RNAcentral describes it as "Alphaproteobacterial sRNA BjrC1505". It matches the Rfam family "Alphaproteobacterial sRNA BjrC1505". The record is from Rfam by way of RNAcentral. Lineage: Bacteria; Pseudomonadati; Pseudomonadota; Alphaproteobacteria; Hyphomicrobiales; Hyphomicrobiaceae.